This 338-nucleotide unclassified non-coding RNA is filed under the name Hevea brasiliensis (rubber tree). Lineage: Eukaryota; Viridiplantae; Streptophyta; Magnoliopsida; Malpighiales; Euphorbiaceae. The record is from RNAcentral.
CUUUUUGGGUUCUUUGAUUGAGCUUGGUUUCUUGAUUAAUUAACACCCCAUUAGUCAGUUUCGGUUCCUUUACGUGUUUUGAUGGAUCUGCCGCUGCGAUUUUUCUUAUUAUUUAUGAAGGGCGGAGGCAUUUCUUGAUCAUCUAAUUAUUUCCAAAAUUUUCAAUUCUUUUGUGAUGCUUUCUUAUUGAAUCUUUACCAAAACUCUUCUUCUUAUCCAACUAAUCUUUCAUGUCUAUAACUUCAUAGUCUGCUCUGUUUAUUUUCUUGAAGUUUUCUCUGUUUUUCAAGGAACUUUUUUAGAUGGGUUGUGCAAGCUCAAAACAAAAGCGUUGCCGG